Molecule: small nucleolar RNA, 147 nt
Organism: Cervus hanglu yarkandensis (Yarkand deer)
Lineage: Eukaryota; Metazoa; Chordata; Mammalia; Artiodactyla; Cervidae
Gene: SNORA70
Rfam family: Small nucleolar RNA SNORA70
About the family: snoRNA U70 seems to be exclusive to mammals and is a member of the H/ACA class of snoRNA which contain H (ANANNA) and ACA box motifs.
Source: Ensembl
AUGUGGUUUUAAAAGGUAGUUUGCCUGUUUACCCCAUGGGGGCCUGGUGUGCAAUGGCUGCAGACAGUAAUGUAGUGUGUAUGCAAUAGUGUAAUGCAAGCAGUCUAUUGCUUGUAUGAGUUGCCCGAAGGGACCUUGGAGACAGCC